RNAcentral lists this long non-coding RNA (953 nucleotides) under Bos indicus x Bos taurus (hybrid cattle). RNAcentral's name for it is "lncRNA (ENSBIXG00005002792.1)". The record is from RNAcentral. Lineage: Eukaryota; Metazoa; Chordata; Mammalia; Artiodactyla; Bovidae.
GGGUGAGCAACACAUGCUGUAUAUUUCCAUCCAAAUAAAAGACAUUCAUUUUGAAGACCCUGGAACAGCUGUAACUUGAGAUUCCCACAAAUGCUUGGAAAACUGUCAGUCCUUUCUGAGUGGCAGUAGAUAUAGAAGCAAGAAUGCCAAAUAAUGUAGACAGCUGAAGAGGUUCAUCUCCAAGAGAGAAUACAUAACCAUCAUGAGGGGUUGCCAGUACAGGAUCCUGUGAUUGUGAACCUCUCUAGAGUCCCAGAAAUGAGGAAAAGGCAGAUCCAAGAUGAAACAAUGGAGCAAGGAGUAAAAAGCAAACCAACGGCCACUGUUUGGCAAGUAUGAGUUUCUGAGUUAGGUGCUAUGUAGUGCUUUCUUUGCCAUGGUGAAGUGAAUCCAUGUCCGAGAAUGGGCUAAAGGGCUAACAUUUCUUAUUAAUUGCAGGCACUGUGCUGAGUACAUUGAAUGCAUCAUAUCCUUAGCUGUUACUGGAUUCAGCCCUUUUAGGAGACAGACAUCACCCAACAAGGUGAACUAGACCUCGUGUGAAAGGAAAGUCCUUACUUCCUAAGCAUUCACAGCUCCCAUUUCACACACUACUCUUGAUCUCUUUCUUCUGAUCUGCCUCAGUGAUAUUCCACCACUUACCACUCCAGUUUUGUUGUAACAACUGGCCAUCUCCCAAAAGCUUCCAACCUCCUCUCCCCUUCUGCCUGAUAGUUCCAAGUAUAGAACCCCACCCUCACCCUUGCUGACUUACUCUGUGGGUCAUUCACACUAAAUUUUCAAGGUGGCCCCGACAUCAUAUAUUUGUUGGUUCCAUAGAACUGGCAUUCUCUGAGGUAAAUAGUUAUCACAGUUUUAUAUCUAGGUUUCCAAGAAGUAAAGGACCUUUUCAAGAGACAUAUAUCUGGAUAUAAUUAACAUGAAUAUGGAGUUAAACCCAAAGCCUGAUUAUA